Ipomoea triloba (trilobed morning glory) is the source of this 703-nucleotide long non-coding RNA. RefSeq lists it as uncharacterized. The transcript is spliced from 3 exons. The record is from RefSeq and is a predicted model, not a curated record. Lineage: Eukaryota; Viridiplantae; Streptophyta; Magnoliopsida; Solanales; Convolvulaceae.
GAAAGCUAUAGCACUUAUCAGAGCUGGGAUAAGAGGCAUCCAUCCCCGCGUUAAAUCUCUCUGGCAUUACAUAUUUACUACUGGAGUACGAGAAAAGGUCUUUUGCAUACUUGGUGCAGAACAGCAUCUGCAACAGUUUUCUCUCGGUGGUCAUGUCAUGCUUCUUUAAAACCCCGACAUCACAGGCUUAGCUUUUAACCAGGGAAAAAUAAUGGCGGUAUGGUGCAGUGUUCAAUGGCACAAAGUGCACAUUUGUUUGAACUUAUGACUUAUUGCAGAACCUUCUCUCAGCUUAUCAGAGGUCCCAUUCCAUUUUUUGGCAUUUCGCAGAACAGUGAUACCAUCAAAUGAGCUACAUCAGUUAUCACAGGAUCAGGAAUGAAUGGAAAGGUUUGCGAUUUUUUAGGAAAUUUUGAAUCCAAAUGUUGUUUAUUCAAUUUCUUCCAAGAAUCAUGUCUUUUUGGUGUGCUUGCCUUGAUUACAGUUGUUUGAGCAACCCUUAAGCAAUGGAGGCUGCCAGCAUCAUGCAUCAUUAGUCAUCUGUCAUACCUGAAAGGAAUAUUGCAACAAACUUGAACUUAGCAUCUCUAAUCUGCCUUUUUGUGUUUUUCAUUAUAAUCUCCAAUCAUUUUCUGUUGAACACUAUUGGAAUGGACUAAUAUUCUUCAAGAUAAUACCCAUUAUUGUUUCUUUUUGCCAUGGA